This 281-nucleotide small nuclear RNA is filed under the name Prolemur simus (greater bamboo lemur). RNAcentral describes it as "7SK RNA (ENSPSMG00000017842.1)". It matches the Rfam family "7SK RNA". Rfam says of the family: 7SK was discovered as an abundant small nuclear RNA in the mid-70s but a possible function has only recently been suggested. Lineage: Eukaryota; Metazoa; Chordata; Mammalia; Primates; Lemuridae. The record is from RNAcentral.
GAAUGAGCAGGCCAUCUGGUCACAACAUCUGUUACUGAACUGGUUGCCAGGAUUGUUUCCACUGAUCUGACUGGCUAAGUGGGCAUCCCUUUCCUCCUCAUGUCAGUCCCUCCCAAAGCCUAUGGGUGCAAUGGAGUCUUCCUUUUCUUUGGUUAAGUGUAUCUGAAUCCUGACGCUUGCUUGCCAGAAACUUAAAGCAAGUUCUCUUCUCACAAGGGGCCACCACAGUAAUGCUGUUUCUGCCUACCUCUUAUAGGUAUUGUGAAAAUCAAAUGUAAUAA